RNAcentral lists this ribosomal RNA (450 nucleotides) under uncultured bacterium. Its description in RNAcentral is "partial 16S ribosomal RNA". It matches the Rfam family "Bacterial small subunit ribosomal RNA", at positions 354 to 796 of the family's 1533-position model. The record is from RNAcentral.
GUGGGGAAUUUUGGACAAUGGGCGCAAGCCUGAUCCAGCCAUUCCGCGUGCAGGAUGAAGGCCUUCGGGUUGUAAACUGCUUUUGUACGGAACGAAAAGCCUCUGGUUAAUACCCGGGGGUCAUGACGGUACCGUAAGAAUAAGCACCGGCUAACUACGUGCCAGCAGCCGCGGUAAUACGUAGGGUGCGAGCGUUAAUCGGAAUUACUGGGCGUAAAGCGUGCGCAGGCGGUGAUGUAAGACAGUUGUGAAAUCCCCGGGCUCAACCUGGGAACUGCAUCUGUGACUGCAUUGCUGGAGUGCAGCAGAGGGGGAUGGAAUUCCGCGUGUAGCAGUGAAAUGCGUAGAUAUGCGGAGGAACACCGAUGGCGAAGGCAAUCCCCUGGGCCUGCACUGACGCUCAUGCACGAAAGCGUGGGGAGCAAACAGGAUUAGAUACCCCUGUAGUCC